GAUUUAGUAGCUUAAUUAGUAAAAUGCUUUCCUAUUAUAGAAGAAGAUAUUAGUUUAAAUCUAAUCUAAUUUA
This 73-nucleotide transfer RNA is filed under the name Scedosporium apiospermum. It matches the Rfam family "tRNA". From Rfam's summary of the family: Transfer RNA (tRNA) molecules are approximately 80 nucleotides in length. Their secondary structure includes four short double-helical elements and three loops (D, anti-codon, and T loops). Lineage: Eukaryota; Fungi; Ascomycota; Sordariomycetes; Microascales; Microascaceae. The record is from Rfam by way of RNAcentral.